GAUGAACGCUGGCGGCGUGCCUAAUACAUGCAAGUCGAGCGAACAGACGAGGAGCUUGCUCCUCUAACGUUAGCGGCGGACGGGUGAGUAACACGUGGAUAACCUACCUAUAAGACUGGGAUAACUUCGGGAAACCGGAGCUAAUACCGGAUAAUAUAUUGAGCCGCAUGGUUCAAUAGUGAAAGACGGUUUUGCUGUCACUUAUAGAUGGAUCCGCGCCGCAUUAGCUAGUUGGUAAGGUAACAGCUUACCAAGGCAACGAUGCGUAGCCGACCUGAGAGGGUGAUCGGCCACACUGGAACUGAGACACGGUCCAGACUCCUACGGGAGGCAGCAGUAGGGAAUCUUCCGCAAUGGGCGAAAGCCUGACGGAGCAACGCCGCGUGAGUGAUGAAGGUCUUCGGAUCGUAAAACUCUGUUAUUAGGGAAGAACAAAUGUGUAAGUAACUAUGCACGUCUUGACGGUACCUAAUCAGAAAGCCACGGCUAACUACGUGCCAGCAGCCGCGGUAAUACGUAGGUGGCAAGCGUUAUCCGGAAUUAUUGGGCGUAAAGCGCGCGUAGGCGGUUUUUUAAGUCUGAUGUGAAAGCCCACGGCUCAACCGUGGAGGGUCAUUGGAAACUGGAAAACUUGAGUGCAGAAGAGGAAAGUGGAAUUCCAUGUGUAGCGGUGAAAUGCGCAGAGAUAUGGAGGAACACCAGUGGCGAAGGCGACUUUCUGGUCUGUAACUGACGCUGAUGUGCGAAAGCGUGGGGAUCAAACAGGAUUAGAUACCCUGGUAGUCCACGCCGUAAACGAUGAGUGCUAAGUGUUAAGGGGUUUCCGCCCCUUAGUGCUGCAGCUAACGCAUUAAGCACUCCGCCUGGGGAGUACGACCGCAAGGUUGAAACUCAAAGGAAUUGACGGGGACCCGCACAAGCGGUGGAGCAUGUGGUUUAAUUCGAAGCAACGCGAAGAACCUUACCAAAUCUUGACAUCCUCUGACCCCUCUAGAGAUAGAGUUUUCCCCUUCGGGGGACAGAGUGACAGGUGGUGCAUGGUUGUCGUCAGCUCGUGUCGUGAGAUGUUGGGUUAAGUCCCGCAACGAGCGCAACCCUUAAGCUUAGUUGCCAUCAUUAAGUUGGGCACUCUAAGUUGACUGCCGGUGACAAACCGGAGGAAGGUGGGGAUGACGUCAAAUCAUCAUGCCCCUUAUGAUUUGGGCUACACACGUGCUACAAUGGACAAUACAAAGGGUAGCGAAACCGCGAGGUCAAGCAAAUCCCAUAAAGUUGUUCUCAGUUCGGAUUGUAGUCUGCAACUCGACUAUAUGAAGCUGGAAUCGCUAGUAAUCGUAGAUCAGCAUGCUACGGUGAAUACGUUCCCGGGUCU
Molecule: ribosomal RNA, 1372 nt
Filed under: uncultured bacterium
Lineage: Bacteria
Description: bacterial SSU rRNA
Rfam family: Bacterial small subunit ribosomal RNA
Source: RNAcentral